AAAGAGAAAAGGAAAAAGAAGAAAGAGAAAGAGGAAGAGAGAAUGCAAAAGAAAAAGAAAAAGAAAGUGGAGAAGGUGGCAGCCAUGGAGGGAGAAGAAGAUUAGGGGCGGUAGCCCCAUAAGAGAGAGAGAGAAGAGGAGAAAGAAGAGUGGCCAUAGAAGGGAAGAAGAGUGGCCAUAGAAGGGAAGAAGAGAAGAAAGAAGAUUUGGAGAAAAAGGUAUUACUUUAAACACUACAAGAAAUCACACAAAAAAUGACCCUAAAAUUUGUCACAUUAAAUUCAUUUUUCGUCACUAAAACAUUUGGUGACGAAUGUUAAUCGUCACAGUGACCGUCACCGUAUGAGCGUGAUAUUAGGUAUAUUUGAUAAUAUUUGAUGUCGUCACUAAAUGUUUUAACUUAUGGCGACGAUCUACACCAUUGUCACUAUAAUUAAUUACUUUUAGUGACGUUAAUAGCGUCACUAUUUGAAUGAAACUUUCGUCACUCUAUAUUAUAUUUCGUCAUCAAAACUUGGUGCAUUAAAUGACAAAAAUCAUUUUUCGUCAUUAAAUGAUAUUGUUUUAGUGACGAAAAUAUGUUACUCUAUUUAAAUCAUCUAAUUUUAAUGACGAAAAUAUUGUCAUAUUUAUGAUUAUUCUUUUGUCAUGUUAUUGUGUUUAUCGUCACAAAAAAUAAGAAAAUAAAUGACGACAGAACAAAUCGUCACCUAAUAAUAUAUUUAACAUGACAAUUAUGUCGUUGUCAUUUCAUAUUUUAAAUAAUAUUACAAAAUAAUUUGUCACCAAAGAGCUAUUUUUUGGGACACAUUUUUCAAUGUCACUAAUUGAAUACUUAUGGUGACGAUACAUCUCGUCACAAAAAGAGUUACUAAUAGUGACAAAAUUAGUUGUUGUGACUAAAUGAAUAAUUAACAGUGAUGGUAUAGUUUGUCACCAAAGAGUUAAUUUCUAUGACAUAUUUUUCUCUGUCACUAAUUGAAUACUUAUGGUGACAAUAGAACUCGUCACAUAAAGAGCUAUUAAUAGUUACAAAAUAAAAAUUCAUCACUAAAUGAUAUAUAAUAGUGACGGCAUAACUUGUCACAAAAUAGUUAAUAUUAGUGACAAGAUCAAUUGUCAUAACUAAAUGAAUUUAUAAUGACAAUACUAUUAAUUCUAAAGAGUUAAUAUUAUUCGUUAUUAAAUUAUAAUUUUCAUUGAUCAAGAAAUUGAACUAUCUGAAACCUCUUUCCAUCAUUUGCCCCCAAGAUGCUCUCUAAAACUGGAGCCAAUUCAGCCUUAUCAGCAAUAAUGAAUUUCUUGUAAUUGCCAUCCUCCUGCAUACAUAUCAACAAGAUACCAACAGCUGCAAUCCUUUCAUCUUUCCACUCAGCUUCCAAGCUGGACACAAUAUUUCCAAUCACUUUUUUUGAAAUUAAACUACUCAUAACUCCAGAUAUUGUGUUUCCCUCAACACAACAGCCAUACAGUUUCACAAGAUUAGGAUGCUGCAAUGCAGAUAUCAUGACUAUUUCAUUGACAAAUUCACGGGUUCUUUGUUUAGACUUUGAUGAAAGUUGCUUCACUGCAAUUAUUGUUUCGUCUGCUAAAAAACCCUACAAGGGGGAACAACAGAAAACCAACUUUUUAAUAAAAAAACAUAUAUAUCAUAGGAAGAUUCGAUCAUUUAUUAUGCAAUCAAAUAUUGAAAAGAAGUAAUGAGAAACAACUAUUUUACUUGAGAACCAAAAGCCAAUGUCCUGAGUUUAUUACACUGGUUUAAAUAUUUAGUCUCUUAAAGAUUUGGAUGACACCUAUCCUUGAAAUUUGCAUUAAAUUUCAGAAAGAAAGGUGAGAAAAACAAAUGAUGAGUCCUUCUACAGGACCUUUUCAAUUAAAGAACUAAGGGGAGAUAAAUAUCUUAUGUAAAAAUAGUCAUUACCCCAGGAAUCAUGUUAAACCACAAAUGGUUAAAGAUACUACUAAACUAAUAAACAAUACUUUAUAGUGACAACAUAAUCUUGCAACCCAUAUUCUUGAUGAUACUUAGUUCUAUUAAUGAGUAAGUGUUAACUUCGCAGAAAAAAAUAUUACCUUGUAUACUGAACCAAAACCACCUUCCCCAAGCUUGUAUGUUUGAUCAAAGUUCUUCGUCACAGCUUUAAUCUGUCUCAAUGUAAAUGGUCCAAUUUGUAGGUCUAGACCUUUAAGCUCUACACAAUAUGUGUAGCUAUGGAAAGUUAGUGUACCAUGUUUAGAUAACAUGAUAUGAACACAUUGUUGAAAUAACAAAAAUAACAUAAGAAAUUAAAAAUAUUUCAUGUUUACAAUUUGUUGCAACUUUUUAAAACUACUCUAAAGCUAACUAAAUUAAAACUUAAAACCAAUAUGAUGAACUUAGAAUAAAUAUUUUCUCAAGAGUUCUCGUUGACUCCUUUAUAAAAAAACAAGAUGCUAAUGAAAACUGCUUCUGAAAUAGGAUGCAAGAGUUGGAGAAUAAACAGGUACUCAAUCCGGAGGACUACCAUUUCAGACUCCUUCAGU
RNAcentral lists this long non-coding RNA (2526 nucleotides) under Panax ginseng (ginseng). RNAcentral's name for it is "long non-coding RNA (PGIN_LNC011154)". The record is from RNAcentral. Lineage: Eukaryota; Viridiplantae; Streptophyta; Magnoliopsida; Apiales; Araliaceae.